RNAcentral lists this long non-coding RNA (535 nucleotides) under Physcomitrium patens. RNAcentral's name for it is "long non-coding RNA (PPAT_LNC006688)". The record is from RNAcentral. Lineage: Eukaryota; Viridiplantae; Streptophyta; Bryopsida; Funariales; Funariaceae.
UAACAAAAUUUUCACCAACCCCUCAUCUUUGUCUCUUUCUUCUACACACAAGAUAUAUUAUUCAAUAAACAUGCUCAAAGAUAUGAUGUCAUGCUAAUAGGCAUUCUUCAUAAAUAUUCAUGCUAUUCAAAAAUUUGAGCAAAUUAAAUAUCUUGUAGCCAAGGUUAUUUUCUAAUUCCCAUGUUACUUCAAAGACAUAAGGAUGAUGAAUUGGAUGAAAGAUAGUUUUCUUUUUCAUCAUAAAAAGCAUAUUUGAUAUACCAUCAAAGAAACAAAGACCUAGGAUGAUGAGCUGAGGUAAAUAUUAUUUAUUUACUUAUUAAUUUAUUUGUGUUUGUACGAGAACACAUUUGUUAUACAAUGGAAUAAAGGGAGCAAUACAAUUGCAUUCUUUGUUAAGAAUAAAUUCCCAAACUUCCUCCACUGCUAAGCCACAGUCACUCGCUAAAUGAACUGUAUCAUGUUGCUCAUAUCUCUCAGUGAACUCUCUACAAAUGCAUGCAAAAUAACACAAUUCUACCUCCACCUAUUGCUC